Molecule: ribosomal RNA, 511 nt
Filed under: Candida albicans
Lineage: Eukaryota; Fungi; Ascomycota; Pichiomycetes; Serinales; Debaryomycetaceae
Description: eukaryotic LSU rRNA
Rfam family: 5.8S ribosomal RNA (bases 143-296)
Source: RNAcentral
UUGCUCUGAUUGCUAUUGCACCACAUGUGUUUUUCUUUGAAACAAACUUGCUUUGGCGGUGGGCCCAGCCUGCCGCCAGAGGUCUAAACUUACAACCAAUUUUUUAUCAACUUGUCACACCAGAUUAUUACUUAAUAGUCAAAACUUUCAACAACGGAUCUCUUGGUUCUCGCAUCGAUGAAGAACGCAGCGAAAUGCGAUACGUAAUAUGAAUUGCAGAUAUUCGUGAAUCAUCGAAUCUUUGAACGCACAUUGCGCCCUCUGGUAUUCCGGAGGGCAUGCCUGUUUGAGCGUCGUUUCUCCCUCAAACCGCUGGGUUUGGUGUUGAGCAAUACGACUUGGGUUUGCUUGAAAGACGGUAGUGGUAAGGCGGGAUCGCUUUGACAAUGGCUUAGGUCUAACCAAAAACAUUGCUUGCGGCGGUAACGUCUACCACGUAUAUCUUCAAACUUUGACCUCAAAUCAGGUAGGACUACCCGCUGAACUUAAGCAUAUCAAAAGCGGGGAGGAA